RNAcentral lists this ribosomal RNA (695 nucleotides) under uncultured bacterium. Its description in RNAcentral is "bacterial SSU rRNA". It matches the Rfam family "Bacterial small subunit ribosomal RNA", at positions 32 to 715 of the family's 1533-position model. The record is from RNAcentral.
AACGCUAGCUACAGGCUUAACACAUGCAAGUCGAGGGNCAGCAUUUUAGUUUGCUUGCAAACUGAAGAUGGCGACCGGCGCACGGGUGAGUAACACGUAUCCAACCUGCCGAUAACUCCGGGAUAGCCUUUCGAAAGAAAGAUUAAUACCGGAUAGUAUACGAAUAUCGCAUGAUAUUUUUAUUAAAGAAUUUCGGUUAUCGAUGGGGAUGCGUUCCAUUAGUUUGUUGGCGGGGUAACGGCCCACCAAGACUACGAUGGAUAGGGGUUCUGAGAGGAAGGUCCCCCACAUUGGAACUGAGACACGGUCCAAACUCCUACGGGAGGCAGCAGUGAGGAAUAUUGGUCAAUGGGCGAGAGCCUGAACCAGCCAAGUAGCGUGAAGGAUGAAGGCUCUAUGGGUCGUAAACUUCUUUUAUAUGGGAAUAAAGUUUUCCACGUGUGGAAUUUUGUAUGUACCAUAUGGAUAAGGAUCGGCUAACUCCGUGCCAGCAGCCGCGGUAAUACGGAGGAUCCGAGCGUUAUCCGGAUUUAUUGGGUUUAAAGGGAGCGUAGGUGGAUUGUUAAGUCAGUUGUGAAAGUUUGCGGCUCAACCGUAAAAUUGCAGUUGAAACUGGCAGUCUUGAGUACAGUAGAGGUGGGCGGAAUUCGUGGUGUAGCGGUGAAAUGCUUAGAUAUCACGAAGAACUCCGAUUG